CAAAAAUAAAAUAAAAACAAAAAAGGAAGGGGGUGGCCGGGGUGGCGCGCAGCCACCCCUAGUGGCCUGGGGCCACCCCUGGACCCAACAUCUCCAGAAAAACACAGCCACGCAGAUUGCUGCCUCUGUCUCCCCCUUCGUAUAUAAACCCAAACGAAACCCUCUUCUCUCCUCACCUCCUCAGAAGCUAACGAACGUGGAAAAUCGAAAACCCAGCAGCAUACAAUUUAAACAUGGAGCUGCUGUUGCAGCUGCUUCUCUGGUUCAAAUAACUAUAGUCCCACACAUUAAGUGAUGAAUGCAGAAGAAAAUAUGUCCAAGCGUAGUCUGACCCAUCUCCAUAUGCUGACUUGCUCAAGAAGGGAUCCAGAGAGAAAUAAGUUGACUUUGAGGAUACAGUUUCACUGUCUGGCAAAUAAACUAGAACAACAUUUGGGUUUUGUUUAGGAAUUGCCUGCAAAAAUCCAUAUAAAAAUAGUCCUUUAUUUUC
Alnus glutinosa is the source of this 490-nucleotide long non-coding RNA. RefSeq lists it as uncharacterized. The transcript is spliced from 3 exons. The record is from RefSeq and is a predicted model, not a curated record. NCBI's taxonomy places the organism in Eukaryota, Viridiplantae, Streptophyta, Magnoliopsida, Fagales, Betulaceae.